Ctenocephalides felis (cat flea) is the source of this 494-nucleotide long non-coding RNA. RefSeq lists it as uncharacterized. Lineage: Eukaryota; Metazoa; Arthropoda; Insecta; Siphonaptera; Pulicidae. The transcript has 4 exons. The record is from RefSeq and is a predicted model, not a curated record.
UUGACAUCAAAGCUGCCUGAUGUCGGGCUUUUGUUGGCGGUGGCGGUAACCGAACCAGAAAACUCAGGACUGAUUACGCCACCGCUGGAUCCUAACUGGAGCCGAUGGACAAAUAAUAAAAUGUUAAAUCUUGGGGUACCUUGGCAUCUGGUUUCCAUAUCUGCAAAAAAUCCAGGAUAUGGUUGCUCAUCACAAUAAAAAUUCGUGUAUGGUACAUCUGCUAGUACUGGAUAGUCUGUUCCUGGCCGACCUAGUAAGGUUUUGGACACCAGCGACAAGUUGUGUGCGAUUUGAACGGGGUGCAGAGCCCCGAUAGCAGGACAAAGAGCCCUUUGGUGAUUGAAAUAAAGCAUCUUCAAUCAUCAAUCAACAAUUGUAGAAUAUUCACCAGGAGACUGUCGACAAAUCAACAUGAAUAUUUUAUCUUGAAUUUAAAUAUAGUUUGAAUAUUCAUAACUCGUUGUAAAAGUCACAUAUUUAAAAACAACGUGAAA